This 254-nucleotide ribosomal RNA is filed under the name uncultured bacterium. RNAcentral's name for it is "partial 16S ribosomal RNA". It matches the Rfam family "Bacterial small subunit ribosomal RNA", at positions 524 to 776 of the family's 1533-position model. The record is from RNAcentral.
UACGGGGGGAGCAAGCGUUGUUCGGAUUUACUGGGCGAAAAGGGCGCGUAGGCGGUCGUGACAAGUCACUUGUGAAAUCUCCGGGCUUAACUCGGAACGGUCAAGUGAUACUGUCGGACUAGAGUACAGAAGGGGCAACUGGAAUUCUCGGUGUAGCGGUGAAAUGCGUAGAUAUCGAGAGGAACACCUGCGGCGAAGGCGGGUUGCUGGGCUGAUACUGACGCUGAGGCGCGAAAGCCAGGGGAGCGAACGGG